ACUCCUACGGGAGGCAGCAGUAGGGAAUCUUCCACAAUGGACGAAAGUCUGAUGGAGCAACGCCGCGUGAGUGAAGAAGGGUUUCGGCUCGUAAAACUCUGUUGUUAAAGAAGAACAUAUCUGAGAGUAACUGUUCAGGUAUUGACGGUAUUUAACCAGAAAGCCACGGCUAACUACGUGCCAGCAGCCGCGGUAAUACGUAAGUGGCAAGCGUUGUCCGGAUUUAUUGGGCGUAAAGCGAGCGCAGGUCGGUUUUUAAGUCUGAUGUGAAAGCCUUCGGCUCAACCGAAGAAGUGCAUCGGAAACUGGGAAACUUGAGUGCAGAAGAGGACAGUGGAACUCCAUGUGUAGCGGUGAAAUGCGUAGAUAUAUGGAAGAACACCAGUGGCGAAGGCGGCUGUCUGGUCUGUAACUGACGCUGAGGCUCGAAAGUAUGGGUAGCAAACAGGAUUAGAUACCCCUGGUAGGAUAGCG
RNAcentral lists this ribosomal RNA (474 nucleotides) under uncultured bacterium. RNAcentral's name for it is "bacterial SSU rRNA". It matches the Rfam family "Bacterial small subunit ribosomal RNA", at positions 335 to 802 of the family's 1533-position model. The record is from RNAcentral.